Molecule: non-coding RNA, 893 nt
Filed under: Hemiergis talbingoensis (Victoria three-toed earless skink)
Lineage: Eukaryota; Metazoa; Chordata; Lepidosauria; Squamata; Scincidae
Source: RNAcentral
UUCCCAAAAACAUAAAGUUUUGGUCCUAAACUUGCCAUUGUUUUUUAGCAAAAUUAUACAUGCAAGCCUCUACAAACCAGUGAGAAUGCCCACAUACCCUAGACAGCCAACCGGAGCGGGCAUCAGGAUACAAUCAAUAUUUAAGCCAAAGACGCCUUGCGAACGCCACACCCACACGGGCCUUCAGCAGUAAUUAACAUUAAAAAUGAGCGCAAGCUCGAUUUAGUUAUUCUAAACAUGGUCGGUAAAUUUCGUGCCAGCCACCGCGGUUAUACGAAAGACCAAAAACAAUAGCCAACGGCGUAAAGCGUGACUAGAGGUUUACCUAAUACUAAAGGAGAACAACCGCCAAGUUGUAAAACACUACUGCACAUUAGAAUCACAACAAUAAAUACCUUUAAAUACACUUCACCUCACGAAAGCUAAGAAACAAACUGGGAUUAGAUACCCCACUAUGCUUAGCCCUAAACACAGAUAGUAUAAACACAAACUAUCCGCCAGAGAACUACAAGCGAAAAGCUUAAAACUCCAAGGACUUGGCGGUGCUUCAAAUCAACCUAGAGGAGCCUGUCCUAUAAUCGAUACCCCACGUUUUACCUUACCACUUCUAGCCCACCAGCCUAUAUACCGCCGUCGUCAGCCUACCUUAUGAAAGAAAUAAAGUGAGCAAAAAAGUCAAUAACUAACACGUCAGGUCAAGGUGUAGCAUACGAAGUGGCAGAGAUGGGCUACAUUUUUUCAAAGUAAAAACACAGAUAAUAAACUGAAAUAUAUACUUGAAGGCGGAUUUAGUAGUAAGACAAGAAAGCAUACUCGUCUUAAAUCUGCUCUGAAGCGCGCACACACCGCCCGUCACCCUCAUCAUAUGUCACACCACACAAAAUAUUUUAUUA